UACAGAGGGUGCAAGCGUUGUUCGGAAUCAUUGGGCGUAAAGGGCGUGUAGGCGGUUUGUUAAGUCAUGUGUGAAAUCCCUCGGCUCAACCGGGGAACGACGCAUGAAACUGGCAAGCUAGAGUACCAAAGAGGGCGGUGGAAUUCCCGGUGUAGCGGUGAAAUGCGCAGAUAUCAGGAGGAACACCGGUGGCGAAGGCGGGACUCUGGGCCGAUACUGACGCUGAGGAGCGAAAGCGUGGGGAGCAAACAGG
This 253-nucleotide ribosomal RNA is filed under the name uncultured bacterium. RNAcentral describes it as "partial 16S ribosomal RNA". It matches the Rfam family "Bacterial small subunit ribosomal RNA", at positions 524 to 776 of the family's 1533-position model. The record is from RNAcentral.